GCUACGGGAGGCAGCAGUGAGGAAUAUUGGUCAAUGGACGGAAGUCUGAACCAGCCAUGCCGCGUGCAGGAAGACGGCUCUAUGAGUUGUAAACUUCUUUUAUAAAGGAAUAAAACGAGGCACGUGUGCCUUUUUGCAUGUACUUUAUGAAUAAGGAUCGGCUAACUCCGUGCCAGCAGCCGCGGUAAUACGGAGGAUCCGAGCGUUAUCCGGAUUUAUUGGGUUUAAAGGGAGCGUAGAUGGGUUGUUAAGUCAGUUGUGAAAGUUUGCGGCUCAACCGUAAAAUUGCAAUUGAUACUGGCAGUCUUGAGUACAGUUGAGGUAGGCGGAAUUCGUGGUGUAGCGGUGAAAUGCUUAGAUAUCACGAAGAACCCCGAUUGCGAAGGCAGCUUACUAAACUGUGACUGACAUUGAUGCUCGAAAGUGUGGGUAUCAAACAGGAUUAGAUACCCUAGUAGUC
RNAcentral lists this ribosomal RNA (460 nucleotides) under uncultured bacterium. RNAcentral's name for it is "partial 16S ribosomal RNA". It matches the Rfam family "Bacterial small subunit ribosomal RNA", at positions 338 to 795 of the family's 1533-position model. The record is from RNAcentral.